CAACAGGGAUUGCCCUAGUAACGGCGAGUGAAGCGGCAACAGCUCAAAUUUGAAAUCUGGCCUUCGGGUCCGAGUUGUAAUUUGUAGAGGAUGCUUUUGGCGCGGUGCCUUCCGAGUUCCCUGGAACGGGACGCCUUAGAGGGUGAGAGCCCCGUACGGUUGGACACCAAGCCUCUGUAAAGCUCCUUCGACGAGUCGAGUAGUUUGGGAAUGCUGCUCUAAAUGGGAGGUAAAUUUCUUCUAAAGCUAAAUAUUGGCCAGAGACCGAUAGCGCACAAGUAGAGUGAUCGAAAGAUGAAAAGCACUUUGAAAAGAGGGUUAAAUAGCACGUGAAAUUGUUGAAAGGGAAGCGUUUGCGACCAGACCUUUUCCUGGCGGAUCAUCCGGUGUUCUCACCGGUGCACUUCGCCAGGUUGAGGCCAGCAUCGGUUUCUGUAGGGGGAUAAAAGCCCUGGGAACGUAGCUCCUCCGGGAGUGUUAUAGCCCUCUGCAUAAAUACCCUUACGGGGACCGAGGACCGCGCUUCGGCAAGGAUGCUGGCAUAAUGGUCGUCAACGACCCGUCUUGAAACACG
Molecule: ribosomal RNA, 574 nt
Filed under: Xylaria sp. BLD10
Lineage: Eukaryota; Fungi; Ascomycota; Sordariomycetes; Xylariales; Xylariaceae
Description: LSU rRNA
Rfam family: Eukaryotic large subunit ribosomal RNA
Source: RNAcentral